This 684-nucleotide non-coding RNA is filed under the name Austrotaxus spicata. Lineage: Eukaryota; Viridiplantae; Streptophyta; Pinopsida; Cupressales; Taxaceae. The record is from RNAcentral.
GUUGGUUCUAAAUCAUGAUCUGUGUAGCGGAGAGGGCGUGUGCGGGUUGUCGGGCGCGUCUCUUUCAUGCCACCCAAUCUCGCUGGGGGUUAGACUAGAGUAUUUGGUGCGUCGCCUUGCAUCCAUUUGGCGGUUCUCCACUAAUGGCUGUUGGGGCGGGCAUUGACUUGGGCAAGUCGCACUCCUGUCGUUUGGGUUAAAUUAUUGGUGUGCGAUCGGGGGUCGCCUUCUUAUUGGUAGUUGAAAGGGACUCGAUUUCAGCGGCGACGGUUGAUAGCAUAAAAUUUGGUCGUUGGACGGAUCUGGCCGGUCGCGUUUGGAAUGGAGCCUUUUCCCUGCCACCUGUGGGGCGGUUCCACGAGAGCGCCCGUGGCAGCCUGUGGGUCGUUGCCUUCUCUGCUAGGGUACUCAAGGUCGCUGCAACCAUCUGCCGCGUUGAUACGGAGGUUGUGAACGUUUGAAGCUAUCGCGCCUCAAACGGGUGCAUUUGUACGAGUCGCCCUCACGACUCCAGCUUUUUGAUGCUGCGGAGCGGGGACACUAUUCUCUAUGAUUUCUCCCCACGAGGCAUCGCCUGUUUACUUGGGGGGUAUCAAGUGAGGUUGUGUGUCAUAACAAUCAACACUUCGGUGCGAGUAGUACCAGGAAAAUAUAAGUGCUGUGCUCCUUCGGCACCGUGAGAAA